This 720-nucleotide ribosomal RNA is filed under the name uncultured Staphylococcus sp. RNAcentral describes it as "bacterial SSU rRNA". It matches the Rfam family "Bacterial small subunit ribosomal RNA", at positions 35 to 738 of the family's 1533-position model. Lineage: Bacteria; Bacillati; Bacillota; Bacilli; Caryophanales; Staphylococcaceae. The record is from RNAcentral.
GCUGGCGGCGUGCCUAAUACAUGCAAGUCGAGCGAACAGACGAGGAGCUUGCUCCUCUGACGUUAGCGGCGGACGGGUGAGUAACACGUAGAUAACCUACCUAUAAGACUGGGAUAACUUCGGGAAACCGGAGCUAAUACCGGAUAAUAUAUUGAACCGCAUGGUUCAAUAGUGAAAGACGGUUUUGCUGUCACUUAUAGAUGGAUCCGCGCCGCAUUAGCUAGUUGGUAAGGUAACGGCUUACCAAGGCAACGAUGCGUAGCCGACCUGAGAGGGUGAUCGGCCACACUGGAACUGAGACACGGUCCAGACUCCUACGGGAGGCAGCAGUAGGGAAUCUUCCGCAAUGGGCGAAAGCCUGACGGAGCAACGCCGCGUGAGUGAUGAAGGUCUUCGGAUCGUAAAACUCUGUUAUUAGGGAAGAACAAAUGUGUAAGUAACUAUGCACGUCUUGACGGUACCUAAUCAGAAAGCCACGGCUAACUACGUGCCAGCAGCCGCGGUAAUACGUAGGUGGCAAGCGUUAUCCGGAAUUAUUGGGCGUAAAGCGCGCGUAGGCGGUUUUUUAAGUCUGAUGUGAAAGCCCACGGCUCAACCGUGGAGGGUCAUUGGAAGCUGGAAAACUUGAGUGCAGAAGAGGAAAGUGGAAUUCCAUGUGUAGCGGUGAAAUGCGCAGAGAUAUGGGGGACACCAGUGGCGAAGGCGACUUUCUGGUCUGUA